CGGGUCCGACAGGGGAGCGCUCCGGCGCUGAGAGUGCGGCCCGCAGCCGCAGACCCUAAGAACCUGCCCCGGUUAGCACCGGCGAAGGAAGUCGACCUUGGCCCUGC
This 107-nucleotide non-coding RNA is filed under the name Ornithinimicrobium sp. CNJ-824. RNAcentral describes it as "TPP riboswitch aptamer (THI element)". It matches the Rfam family "TPP riboswitch aptamer (THI element)". From Rfam's summary of the family: Vitamin B(1) in its active form thiamin pyrophosphate (TPP) is an essential coenzyme that is synthesised by coupling of pyrimidine and thiazole moieties in bacteria. The previously detected thiamin-regulatory element, thi box was extended, resulting in a new, highly conserved RNA secondary structure, the THI element, which is widely distributed in eubacteria and also occurs in some archaea. Lineage: Bacteria; Bacillati; Actinomycetota; Actinomycetes; Micrococcales; Ornithinimicrobiaceae. The record is from Rfam by way of RNAcentral. RNAcentral also lists the same sequence under 1 other name.